Molecule: transfer RNA, 70 nt
Filed under: Dipodomys ordii (Ord's kangaroo rat)
Lineage: Eukaryota; Metazoa; Chordata; Mammalia; Rodentia; Heteromyidae
Rfam family: tRNA
About the family: Transfer RNA (tRNA) molecules are approximately 80 nucleotides in length. Their secondary structure includes four short double-helical elements and three loops (D, anti-codon, and T loops).
Source: Rfam by way of RNAcentral
GGGAAUGUGGCUCAGUGGUAAGGUGCUUGUCUUGCAAGCAUGAAGCCCUGGGUUCAAUUCCUCAGUACCA